Molecule: long non-coding RNA, 250 nt
Organism: Uloborus diversus
Lineage: Eukaryota; Metazoa; Arthropoda; Arachnida; Araneae; Uloboridae
Exons: 3
Source: RefSeq, a predicted model, not a curated record
CUGAGCUCCCGCUCGCCGUUCGGCCAUGUUUUUGCAAGCAUGAAAGGAAGAAAACUUAAAGGGAUCGAGGAGCAGAAUUGGAAAUGCUUCUACUUUAACUUUAAAGUCUAAAAGAUGGUAUUGGAAAAAACAUGAAGGUAGCAGAUGACCAAGGGAAAAUGAAAUCCUGGCUGAAGCAUUCAGCAGACUAGAUGAUAAGGGAAACAGCCAACAAUUAAAGAAAUUUAUUGUAUAAAAUUUGUUAAUAAAG